CGAUAGUUCGCUAGACGAGCAAAAAAUAAGUACGAGAAAACUACACGCGAUAUAACCGAGCACGAGACAUAUCGUAAACUGACAAGUUCGCCUGUAGAGGGCCGCGUUUACCGUUUGCUUCUUCAAUAUGACAUACAAUUCCUCGGAUCUGGAUGGACCGUAUCAUUAGCAUUUUUUAGUUAACGAUGGAGAGGGCUAUCAUUCGAAAAAAACGAACAAAUAUACGGACUAAAGUAAACCCUGUUCGGUCCAAGAGUAGAACGAACAAGGUAAUUACGCAUUUGACUAGAUCUACAUAUAAUAACUACCUUAUACUGGUUUAAACGCGGCACCCUUUCGCGCCACGAAAAAAAAGAAUACGGAGUUUUGUACAGUGAGUCACUCGUAGGCGUGUCUUGGAUUAAUCCUAAGCACCUGUGCUGAGGCUAGUUAUACAGUGCACUUGCGAAUAACUGAUACAGUGAAAGGGGUACUUAAAGUUUUGCUUGAGUUGGCGGAUCGAUGUUCCAAAAGAGUGAACACGUUGCACCCCUUCUUUCUUGGGCGUACGUACGUAUUCCCAUGUGUAAAGUUGGGGAAAACGUCUGGUAAUGAGGGGGUGCUCAUCGUCUCUGCCGAUUUUGUCGCUUAUCGGCCACCCGCAACGUUACAGUGGGAAAAUAGAAACAUAUUUAUCUUAUGAAUGACAAAAAUUCAUAAAAUAUUAACCAUGAAGACUGAAGGUAAAUCGGAUCACGUACAAACUCGAUGACUAACUUGAAGCGACAAAUUUAAUAAAGUUAAUAGAAUAUAUUACAUCACCUUCGACCCUUAGAACGUUUAUCAUAUAUGUCUGGGAUGACGUUAAAGAAAGUUUAUUUUCACUGUCGUUCGAAGGGCGCGAAAUGCAAUCUGCUUCAUUGAACGAAUGAGUAACGCGAAACAAUACGAAAAUAACACUGGCGGAGCUAAUGGUUUUAUCUAAGCAUUAUACUAUCGAAUUAUAGCUCUGGAAAACGAUAUAAUGGUUAUUCCAAUCUAGUAAAAAAAAGAACGGAAUGUACUAGACCGAUCAACUUCGAUUAUCAUUUAUCUGUGCGAAUUCGUGUCAUCUUCGUUAUGCAAUCCCAUACAUUGACGUAAAAGUAUAAUAACUCAUGUGCAUUUGUUAAAUAUUUCGUUAGAGCAACACAAUGUACUGCACAACCUAGCAUUGAAAUCACCCGAUAAAUUCAGUGAUCGCGAUGCUGUCUAUAGUAUCAAAGUGAUCGGUACACGCAUUAUAACGACCCGCUUUUAAACGGACGAAUUAAUAAUAUUCCGACGAAAUGAAUUCUAUUAUGCUCGAACUCUACCUUUUCGGAUACAAGUGAAAUAGAAUUCAAUGCAAUUGGUAUGAUCGAUAGCAUGUAGUAUAGAGAGAGAGAAACAUAAAACCUUAAUGAAGACCGUUAACUAUACUUCUUACGAUUAAGAUAAGCACAGCUAACGAUGUUUUCCGACGCUAUAAAAUAAUUCCUAUACAAUUUCUUUUGAAAUAUAAAUUACAACCAUUUGUUUCUCUCUACACACCAGUACUA
Molecule: long non-coding RNA, 1559 nt
Organism: Hylaeus volcanicus
Lineage: Eukaryota; Metazoa; Arthropoda; Insecta; Hymenoptera; Colletidae
Exons: 4
Source: RefSeq, a predicted model, not a curated record